GCAGCAACAUUAAUCCAGCCUGAGAAAGAAUGCAAGUCAUGCAGAGCAAAAACAUACAGAGCUGAACUGUGUGGAGAGGAGGGGUCGGAGUUAUGUAACACAGAAAGAGAGAGAGGAAGAAGAAGAAAAGACCGGAGAGGAAAGGCAACAGAUCGAGACUGAGGCUGAGAGAUGUGGAGGAGGUGUCCAUCCAAAUAUUAAACAAACAGUGACGGAGGACAGAACCAGAGAAGACAGAUCACAUCACCCGUGAACCUCCACAACUCUGUCACAACUAACAGGUGGACCUCUGGUGCUGUCUGAGGCGGCUGGAGGGCAGAGAUGAACCCAGGACUCUCUGCUGACACACGACUCAUGUGUAUCACCAUGGAAACAGCCAGCACCGGUUUGUCAAGAGCUCGUCUGUCACGGGGGAAAAAGAAUCACCAUGACAACCCAGUAGAGGGAGAGAGGGCCCUGUGGUGGAUCUCUGUGGUGGAUCUCUGCGGUGGGUCUCUGUGGCGGAUCUCUGUAUUGGAUCUCUGUAAUGGGUCUCUGUAGUGGUUUUCUGUGGUGGGUCUCUGUGGUGGAUCUCUGCGGUGGGUCUCUGCAGUGGAUCUCUGUAGUGGAUCUCUGUGGUGGG
Molecule: long non-coding RNA, 622 nt
Organism: Acanthopagrus latus (yellowfin seabream)
Lineage: Eukaryota; Metazoa; Chordata; Actinopteri; Spariformes; Sparidae
Exons: 3
Source: RefSeq, a predicted model, not a curated record